Ictalurus punctatus (channel catfish) is the source of this 1430-nucleotide long non-coding RNA. The record is from Ensembl. Lineage: Eukaryota; Metazoa; Chordata; Actinopteri; Siluriformes; Ictaluridae.
CAAGGCCAGCUGAAUACUUGAAAUAAAGAUAGAAAUAAAUAAAUCAGUGGUGAGUGGUUGGCACGUUCGCCUCACACCUCCAGGGUCGGGGGUUCGAUUCCCGCCGUGGCCCUGUGUGUGCGCCGAGUUUGAAUGGUCUCCCAUGCUGCGGGGGUUCCCUCCGGGUACUCCGGUUUCCUCCCCCAGUCCAAUAUGUAGCGAUUACCGAUAUGCAGAUAUGUAAACCGUUGAGUGAACGCCAACAAACAAACAAAAUAAUAGAGAUAAUGCGCUUGAUGCACGCCUUCCUUGUACCCUGAGAGACGGUGGGACCAGCCGAACGGUGCUAGAGGACCGGUGACCAGUCGAGCGGUGCUAGAGGACCGGUGACCAGUCGAGCGCUGCUAGAGGACCGGUGACCAGUCGAGCGGUGCUAGAGGACCGGUGACCAGUCGAGCGGUGCUAGAGGACCGGUGACCAGUCGAGCGGUGCUAGAGGACCGGUGACCAGCCGAGCGCUGCUAGAGGACCGGUGACCAGCCGAGCGGUGCUAGAGGACCGUGACCAGUCGAGCGCUGCUAGAGGACCGGUGACCACUCGAGCGCUGCUAGAGGACCGGUGACCACUCGAGCCGCUGCUAGAGGACCGGUGACCAGCCGAGCGCUGCUAGAGGACCGGUGACCAGCCGAGCGCUGCUAGAGGACCGGUGACCACUCGAGCGCUGCUAGAGGACCGGUGACCAGCCGAGCGGUUCUAGAGGACCGGUGACCAGCCGAGCGGUGCUAGAGGACCGGUGACCAGCCGAGCGCUGCUAGAGGACCGGUGACCAGUCGAGCCGUGCUAGAGGACCGGUGACCAGCCGAGCGCUGCUAGAGGACCGGUGACCACUCGAGCGCUGCUAGAGGACCGGUGACCAGUCGAGCGCUGCUAGAGGACGGGUGACCACUCGAGCGCUGCUAGAGGACCGGUGACCAGCCGAGCCGUGCUAGAGGUUCGGUGACCACUCGAGCGAUGCUAGAGGACCGGUGACCAGUCGAGCGGUGCUAGAGGAUCGGUGACCAGUCGAGCCGUGCUAGAGGAUCGGUGCAGUGCGGGGUAUGAUAAGUGAUUCGUGCUAAGCGUGUGCUGGUCCGUUUUUGGCUUUGUAGGCAAGCAUCAGUGUUUUAUAUCUGAUGCUACAGGAAGCAAGUGGACGGAGCGUCGCGAUGGGGUAGUGUGGAAAACUUAGGAAGGUUGAAAGUCACACAGCUGCAUUCUGGAUCAGUCGCAGAGGUCGAUUGGCGCUCAGAGGCAGACCUGCCAGGUGUGACUUGCAGUAAUCCAGUCUGGAAAUGACAGAGAGACCGAACCGGCAUCUGAGUGGCCUGUAUGGAUAAAAAAGGACGAAUCCUUCUGAUGUUGUAACGGAGAACUCGACAUGAGCGUGUCAGAUUAGCAAUGCUAAAUAGCUAA